Long non-coding RNA from Hyaena hyaena (striped hyena), 381 nucleotides. RefSeq lists it as uncharacterized. The transcript has 2 exons. Lineage: Eukaryota; Metazoa; Chordata; Mammalia; Carnivora; Hyaenidae. The record is from RefSeq and is a predicted model, not a curated record.
CUUUGUGAGAUGAGAAAAUGUUUCUUGUUUCUACAUUUUUGACCCCAUCUUUCUGUGGCAGUAGUACAUUCUGAGUGUGUUUUUUGCCAGGCAGAGCUAAAUGGAGGGAUAACCUGGGCCAAGGAACCGCAUUGAGGCAGUGAGGAUUUGGAUUUGGGAUGGUAUUGACUGAGCCAUGGGAGCCCAAACAUCUGCCAAAGCCAGCAACAGGAAACCUCAACAGCUGGUAAAUGACCUGCAAACACUGCCUGCCUCAAAUUGCAAUAACAAUGAAGAGAUCGCUUUUUCACAAAGUGGAGAGUAAAUAUAAGGAAUUUACGGACUGUAUUAGCCUCCAGAGAUUUUUAUGAGCAGAAUAAAAAAUGACAGAGAUCCAUGAAA